Earliella scabrosa is the source of this 86-nucleotide non-coding RNA. The record is from the annotation of a GenBank genome assembly. NCBI's taxonomy places the organism in Eukaryota, Fungi, Basidiomycota, Agaricomycetes, Polyporales, Polyporaceae.
GUCCUUGUCGAUUAGUGGUCAGAUCAUCACAUUGUGGCACAAAUCCGCAAACCGUGGAGGCGCAGGUUCGACUCCUGCCUGGGACA